GAUGAACGCUGGCGGCGUGCCUAAUACAUGCAAGUCGAGCGAACAGACGAGGAGCUUGCUCCUCUGACGUUAGCGGCGGACGGGUGAGUAACACGUGGAUAACCUACCUAUAAGACUGGGAUAACUUCGGGAAACCGGAGCUAAUACCGGAUAAUAUAUUGAACCGCAUGGUUCAAUAGUGAAAGACGGUUUUGCUGUCACUUAUAGAUGGAUCCGCGCCGCAUUAGCUAGUUGGUAAGGUAACGGCUUACCAAGGCAACGAUGCGUAGCCGACCUGAGAGGGGGACCGGCCCCCCUGAACCUGGGCCCCGUUCCGGCCUCCUCGGGAGGGCGCCGGAGGGAAUUCUCCCGCAAUGGGCGAAGCCCUGCCGGGGCAACGCGGCGGAGGUGAUAAAGGUCUUCGAUUCGUAAACUCUGUUAUUAGGGAAGAACAAAUGUGUAAGUAACUAUGCACGUCUUGACGGUACCUAAUCAGAAAGCCACGGCUAACUACGUG
This 496-nucleotide ribosomal RNA is filed under the name uncultured bacterium. RNAcentral's name for it is "partial 16S ribosomal RNA". It matches the Rfam family "Bacterial small subunit ribosomal RNA", at positions 28 to 507 of the family's 1533-position model. The record is from RNAcentral.